CUUGGUGGCUUUAGCGGUAGGGGUACACCCGUUCCCAUUCCGAACACGGAAGUUAAGUCUACCAGCGCCGAUGGUACUUGCCUGCAACGGGCCGGGAGAGUAGGACGCCGCCAAGA
RNAcentral lists this ribosomal RNA (116 nucleotides) under Candidatus Peregrinibacteria bacterium. The record is from RNAcentral. Lineage: Bacteria; Candidatus Peregrinibacteriota.